Molecule: ribosomal RNA, 37 nt
Filed under: Agaricus campestris
Lineage: Eukaryota; Fungi; Basidiomycota; Agaricomycetes; Agaricales; Agaricaceae
Description: partial 28S ribosomal RNA
Source: RNAcentral
UGACCUCANAUCAGGUAGGACUACCCGCUGAACUUAA